CUUUUUCUGUAACUCAAUUGAGAAAAAGGCAUCCCAUAAAUCAAUAAUCAUUAGGUCCCAAUCUCGCGGAAUUAAAUUUGGGUUUGGGAGACCACAUUGUAGCGCUCCCAUGGGUUGCAAAAUUUUAUUAAUGGCCCUUAGGUCAUGCAAAAAACGCCACUUUCCUGAUUUCUUUUUGAUGACAAAUACUGGAGUAUUAUAGGGACUGACCGAAGGUUCAAUGUGUCCCUUGUCUAACUGUUCUUGCACCAAUUCAGUUAAAGCUGACAAUUUUUCCAAAGUCAAUGGCCAUUGGUCCACCCACACAGGAGCAUCACUCAGAAGGGUUAAUGACAAGGGGGUUACAGACAUGACAAGGAGUUAGUGCAGAAUCAAGCGUGCAUCAAAUUGAGACAUCAAAUCUCUACCCCACAAAUUUAAAUGAAGCGGCACAAUGACAGGUUUAAUGUGGGCCACCGUGUCUGAAUCUGGGGAGGUUACCGACAACCAAUCUUUGCUGACUUUAGNAUUUUGAAUGCCUCCCACUCCUCUCACAGCUGGUGAUGAUUCUGUGGGCCAGGAAGGGGGCCAGUCUUGCUCCCGGAUACCCGAAAAAGGACGCUCUUUAAUAUUGAAGGUGAUCACGGGCCGCUUAUUACUCACCGCAGUAUCAAUUGCAAGAAUGUCAUUUUCGGAAUCAUAAUCGGAGAGAUCGGGCUCUAAGGCAACAAGAAUGGCAGUAGCCACAACAUCCCCCUCCCUCACAGUCAGCGGUGUAUCCACAAUACAAACAAAGGCAAUAGAAGAAAGAUCAGAGGAGUCAGUUAAAAAAGGUGAUGCAAGAACACCACGGGAGGUAAGAUCACGAUGCGGAUAGACCAACAAAGGCAAGGAGGGGGGCAGAGAAGGGCUGCUAGAAUGGUUAAUAGGAAGAAAGUAAGUAAGACCGGGGAUUUGCAUGUCUACUGUUUCAGAAGCGUUAAAUUCAAGAGGCACUAGAGAGGGAGAAGUGGAAGAGGUUUCAGAAGAGGUUUCAGCCUUUGAGGCGGGGCUAGCUGAUCGCCCCACCUCUAGUUUCCCGAGUUCUUAGGGGGGUUAGCACGGCAUUGAUUUGCCCAAUGAUAGCCCUUGUUACAUCGGGGACACAACGUUCUUGGUUUUUCAUUCUUUUCUCUCCCUGAUGCUGCCCCCCUGCCGGGCGCCCGGCACUGACUUUUAAACUGACCGGGCUUCCCGCAGUUGAAACAAUUUCCUGCUUUUUGCNUGGGAUUCAUUUUUUGAAGAGCCAUGGCCAGAGACUCCAUAUUGUAAGCGUUAGUCCCCACAACGCGACAAGCUCGGAGGUAGUCAGCCAAACCCGCAUCCGGGCGAGACAACAAAGGUUGCAAGACCCGCUUGCAAUCUUCGUUUGCAUUCUCAUAGGCCAGUUUUUUCGUUAACUCCUCCUUUGCUACAGGGUUGCGGAUCUCUCGCUCAAUGGCCUUUUGCAAUGUGUCCAAAAAUUCCGAAUAAGCCUCNUUUGGUCCCUGAUAAAUUUUUGCAAAAGAAGCCUUUACUGUUGAUGANAUAUCAUCUAUCUUUUUUAAAGCAGUUUGGGCUGCUAGGCCACAAUGGCCAAAGGUGAUAGCAGGCAAGUUUGCUUGAUUAGCGGAUGCCGCAUGGGGUCCUAAACCCAGAAUUUGAUCAAGCGUCAAAAGGCCAUU
Salvator merianae (Argentine black and white tegu) is the source of this 1682-nucleotide long non-coding RNA. The record is from Ensembl. Lineage: Eukaryota; Metazoa; Chordata; Lepidosauria; Squamata; Teiidae.